ACGCUAGCUACAGGCUUAACACAUGCAAGUCGAGGGGCAUCAGGAAGAAAGCUUGCUUUCUUUGCUGGCGACCGGCGCACGGGUGAGUAACACGUAUCCAACCUGCCCUUUACUCGGGGAUAGCCUUUCGAAAGAAAGAUUAAUACCCGAUAGCAUAAUGAUUCCGCAUGGUUUCAUUAUUAAAGGAUUCCGGUAAAGGAUGGGGAUGCGUUCCAUUAGGUUGUUGGUGGGGUAACGGCCCACCAAGCCUUCGAUGGAUAGGGGUUCUGAGAGGAAGGUCCCCCACAUUGGAACUGAGACACGGUCCAAACUCCUACGGGAGGCAGCAGUGAGGAAUAUUGGUCAAUGGGCGCUAGCCUGAACCAGCCAAGUAGCGUGAAGGAUGAAGGCUCUAUGGGUCGUAAACUUCUUUUAUAUAAGAAUAAAGUGCAGUAUGUAUACUGUUUUGUAUGUAUUAUAUGAAUAAGGAUCGGCUAACUCCGUGCCAGCAGCCGCGGUAAUACGGAGGAUCUGAGCGUUAUCCGGAUUUAUUGGGUUUAAAGGGAGCGUAGGUGGACUGGUAAGUCAGUUGUGAAAGUUUGCGGCUCAACCGUAAAAUUGCAGUUGAUACUGUCAGUCUUGAGUACAGUAGAGGUGGGCGGAAUUCGUGGUGUAGCGGUGAAAUGCUUAGAUAUCACGAAGAACUCCGAUUGCGAAGGCAGCUCACUGGACUGCAACUGACACUGAUGCUCGAAAGUGUGGGUAUCAAACAGGAUUAGAUACCCUGGUAGUCCACACAGUAAACGAUGAAUACUCGCUGUUUGCGAUAUACAGUAAGCGGCCAAGCGAAAGCAUUAAGUAUUCCACCUGGGGAGUACGCCGGCAACGGUGAAACUCAAAGGAAUUGACGGGGGCCCGCACAAGCGGAGGAACAUGUGGUUUAAUUCGAUGAUACGCGAGGAACCUUACCCGGGCUUAAAUUGCAGUGGAAUGAUGUGGAAACAUGUCAGUGAGCAAUCACCGCUGUGAAGGUGCUGCAUGGUUGUCGUCAGCUCGUGCCGUGAGGUGUCGGCUUAAGUGCCAUAACGAGCGCAACCCUUAUCUUCAGUUACUAACAGGUCAUGCUGAGGACUCUGGAGAGACUGCCGUCGUAAGAUGUGAGGAAGGUGGGGAUGACGUCAAAUCAGCACGGCCCUUACGUCCGGGGCUACACACGUGUUACAAUGGGGGGUACAGAAGGCAGCUAGCGGGUGACCGUAUGCUAAUCCCAAAAGCCUCUCUCAGUUCGGAUCGAAGUCUGCAACCCGACUUCGUGAAGCUGGAUUCGCUAGUAAUCGCGCAUCAGCCACGGCGCGGUGAAUACGUUCCCGGGCCUUGUACACACCGCCCGUCAAGCCAUGGGAGCCGGGGGUACCUGAAGUACGUAACCGCAAGGAUCGUCCUAGGGUAAAACUGGUGACUGG
RNAcentral lists this ribosomal RNA (1442 nucleotides) under uncultured organism. Its description in RNAcentral is "SSU rRNA". It matches the Rfam family "Bacterial small subunit ribosomal RNA". The record is from RNAcentral.